GAUGAAGAACGUAGCGAAAUGCGAUAAGUAAUGUGAAUUGCAGAAUUCAGUGAAUCAUCGAAUCUUUGAACGCACAUUGCGCCCGGCAGUACUCUGCCGGGCAUGCCUGUUCGAGCGUCAUUUCAACCCUCAAGCCCUGCUUGGUGUUGGGGCCCCACGGCUGCCGUGGGCCCUGAAAGGAAGUGGCGGGCUCGCUACAACUCCGAGCGUAGUAAUUCAUUAUCUCCCUUAGGGCGUUGGGCGGCGCUCCAGCCGUUAAAGAACCAUCUUUAACUCAAGGUUGACCUCGGAUCAGGUAGGAAUACCCGCUGAACUUAAGCAUAUCAAUAAGCGAGGA
RNAcentral lists this unclassified non-coding RNA (337 nucleotides) under soil metagenome. RNAcentral describes it as "partial contains 5.8S ribosomal RNA, internal transcribed spacer 2, and large subunit ribosomal RNA". The stretch from base 1 to 120 matches the Rfam family "5.8S ribosomal RNA", at positions 35 to 154 of the family's 154-position model. The record is from RNAcentral.